CAAACAGUGUUAAAACCAUCAAGAGCAAGCGAUACUAGUAAAAGCAUACAAGUAUACAAAAGAGAGAAACUUAACUAUUGAACCAUGAAUUUAAAGCAUUUAAAUACCACUUGCAUUAAACUCUUUAAACCAUCAUACAUUAUUUUUCAAUCUUUUCCAAAAAGUAAAUACAUCAAGUACUCUCCAAAACCUCACUCUAUACAACAUCUACUCUCAAAAUAAAAGCACAGGGUGAACUAAUGCAAGUAGGAAAGUAAGCUACCAACUGGUACCACUAGGGCGCCAAGCCCUUGCCGCGAUCCUCCCGCUCGGUCGGGACACUCGAACUAGCGCCUGCAACAACGGGUGUGAGAACUACGAAUAGUUCCCAGUGGGUUCGGCCGCCGACUCCACCGAUCUACCCACUAGGUCGAAGCAGGCAUAGAGAGAUAUAUGCAAUAUAUAUAUAUAUAUAUAUAUAUAGCUAAACUGAUAAAAGUAGGUAUGAUAACUGAGCAAGUAAGUAGAAUCAUGAAUAUCUAGCUAUGCCUCAAUCUGAUAUCAUGCAUGCAUGAACAAUAAAUAAAGCUGGGUAGUAAGCUACUAUGAACAACAAUAANGCUCGGUUUCUCGGUUGCGCAGUGCUUGUACCGGUACAAGCCCACCUUGUUCCGGUACAAGGCCUGGCAGCCCCCCAAACCGAAAGCUCGGUUUCUCGGUUGCGCAGUGCUUGUACCCGUACAAGCACCCUUGUUCCGGUACAAGGCCUGGCAGCCCCCCAAACCGAAAGCUCGCGAUGGUUGUACCGGUACAACCAUCACUCUUGUACCGGUACAACAGCUCCAGAAUGCUGUUUUCACAUCUCUUUGGCUCUAUUUCGCGCCGUUUGAUGUCAAAACCAAUCUAACACCUUUGGAACUCAUUUUAGCUCUUCCAAACUUGUUGGAAUAUCGAAUGGAACUCGUCCAAACUGUUCAAUUGCCCACUUUGGUCCAUUUGGCCAAAGUUAGCCACAAACCAUCAAGUUUCAAUAUCUCACAUCUAAACACUUUUACUCAAGUAUAAUUUCACCACAAACUAUUAGUCUACAUACCUAAGUAGACGAGCAUCACGAACAUGUGUUUGCCUCACCAGUCUUGUAAUCUUAGCUUCCUUCAUCUUCAACUCUUCAAGACUCCAUUCGACUUCACGAAAUCUGCCAACUUAGAAAAAUUCUUAACAAUCUCCCUCUUUGGCGAUUUCGUGACAAAACUCAAUGCUCAUACAAACUCAAAAGAGGAAAGUGGAAGAUUAUUGCAAUCACCAAACGACAAUUUCCUGCAUGAUCGAUCCAACAAAGAAAAAUUACAUUUUACUCAUCCUAGACAAACUCUAUGACUUAGACAAGAUGUGGAGUCUUGAAGUCUUGAGAAUCCUGCACAAAAUUCUCCACAAUACACACUCAAGAUAUGCAAUGAAUAAUCAUGACAGUCAUAGUUUCAUAGUUUUAGUUGCACUCAUCACGAAGAAGAAAAGCAAGCAAGUCAAGUAAACAAAAAGGAUAAAACACAUAAGCAAGCAUCAUCAAGCAUUAUCAUCAUCUCCCCCUUUUUGUCAGAAAACGCCAAAACGACAAAGAAGGGGCCACCCAAAAUAGCUAAUCUGAAUCUGCAUCCUGGGAAGGCAAAUCAGCACUGCAACACCCCAUUUUGUCAAAUAUAGCCUUCAGGAGUCUGGAGAUCUUGCUCAUCUUUCUUGUAAGCCGUGUUUGUUCAGAAACAAUGAGCUGAAGCUCGCCCGAAAUACGUUCCUGCUCAUUAGAGAGUCGCUGUUGCUCCCGAUAAACAGAAGAAACUGAGACAUCCUCUUCAAAUACCUCCUCAGAAGGCUGUGAAGGACCAGGAGCAACAGAAAGCGGAGAAGAGUGUUGCUGAACAGAAUGUCGUGGAGGAGAGCGACGAGAAGGUGAUUGAAGCUGAACAGCAGACUUUAUAAAAGUAGUCUCACUGAUAACCCCGAGACUAAACUCAUAAGAGCUGCAACGAGUAUCCACACCAAGAGCACGAAGAAUUCGCAUAAUAAUCAAGGGAUAUGGAAGACGUUCAUUGUAAUACACUGGAUCUUGCAAAUCGCAAGAUUCGAGUGUUUGAUCUGUGUGUGGGGCCUUCCCACAGUUUUUGGAGGGUCGUUGAUAGCGUUCCGACCCCUGGCACGCAUCCCGAGGAUGUUGGAGUGAGACUUGGCACCAAAAUUCUAAAAUUGGAAUUUUUGGUCAGCUCUCGGGUAGCCUGCAGCAGAGCUUGUACCGGAACAAGACUGGCCUNAUCAACUCACGAACAACAGCAACCUACCCUCUAAGGGUAAUCUCAUCAUGGAAUCAAGGUGUUCUUGUACCCAAUCUCAUAGUGUCUCAACUACACUAAGGUUCUCAUAUCAAAUUAUCGACAAUCAUACGUCCUUUACCAUAGUUUUCUAUAACUCGAUGCCACUUGUCAUAGUUUUCUAAACUAGAUGCCACUCGUCAUUUAGACUCAUUUCAACACUAGUUACAUCUUACUAGUUCUUUAGCAACAUAACAUUAAUCAUUUCAUAUAGGGUCUAGGUUUUCAUGCAUACUAGAUCAUGGAUAAAUCACAAGAUAUAAAGCUACUAGCAUGCAAAUAUAAGCAACAAUAUUCAUUUUCUAACCCUAUAUGUAACAUGAAUAAGAUGCAAUUAGAUCAAUGAUAAACUUGGACAUAGAACGUAGCCCCAUGGCUUCGGGAAGGUCACCACCCACUUUGUGGUAGUGCCGAGAAGCUAAGAAACUCAGCGUCGAAAUCCACGUGCGCCGCUUCAACACCUCGGGUCAAAACGAACCCUAGAGCAACCAAAAUGGCGAUAUCUCCACGCUCGCUCGACGGAUCGACGAACUGUCUUCGCCUACGCGUUCGGGAGCAUAACAAUUAGGUUUCCGACCCAUCAAAAUAGAUCAAAAUCCAAUAUUUCCAAAAAUCCCAAAAAACCAACCCUAGGUUUAGCACCCAUGGGAAACCAUGGUUUCUGGCUUCAUUGUGAGCUAGAUCCAUCUCCUCUAAACUCAUUAGGUUCCAUUUGAACCGAUAAAACCAACAAAAACUCACAAAACCCUAGAAUCUCACAAUUAGGGUUAAGGCUUACCUCUAGGGUUUGCUCCAAAGCAAGCCCUAGCUUGAGGAAGAGGAGGGAGUGAGCUUUUUUUCCUUCUCCUUGAUCUUCUCCUUCCUUCCCUUCUUCUUCUCUUUCUUUUCCUUUUUUUUCUUCUUCUUCUUCUUUUUCGGUUUAGAGAGAGAGAGCUAAGUGAGAGGGGGAGAGAGAGAGAGGCUAAGAGUGAGUGAGAGAGGCUAAGAGAGAGGUAUUAUAACCCUCUAAUGUAACAAAAUCCCAAAAGCCCCCUCAAAAAUCUAAUUUUCCAACUUGACCUGCAGUUUUGGGUCCCUUGUACCGGUACACGGAUUCUUGUACCGGUACAAGGCCUGGCAGACAGCCCAACCCGAGGCUCGGUUUCUCGGUUGCGCAGUGCUUGUACCGGUACAAGCCCACCUUGUUCCGGUACAAGGCCUGGCAGCCCCCCAAACCGAAAGCUCGGUUUCUCGGUUGCGCAGUUGUCACGCCCCGGGACCGAUGCCAAUUUGGCCCGACCCGAGCACGUCAAAGAGACGCCGAACGGACAGAGUUUCCCCUAUCCGCCCAAGGCUCAUCACACGUACAUUUUCAACAAUAGAGAAAAGCACUAGCGGAAACAUACACAAACGGCUUACACGAGGGUAAGCAAUAGCCAUUAGUGANACGACCUUAGUGUUCAUUGUCGGCAUGAUAUUAUAGUCCACAACGAAGUUGAGAAAGCGAUACUCCAAUUUCAAUUCUUUUGACAAGACCGAAUUUCCUGUGGACUGAGUAAUAGGCACACAGAUGCCAUUCACAAUAUGUCGCCAAUCACGAAGUGAGUCAAUGCAAGCAUGCAGAUAAUCGACCCCAUCAAUACGAGCUUCCAUGGCAAGAACCGAACCAAUCAAAUCCGGCGUAAUAGCCAAAGAGACUCCGCAAAUAGAGGUCUGGAAAACGCAUGGUCCACCAUCAGUAUCUUGGAGAUGUCCAGCACGCAUAUAGAACUCUCGAAUCAGUUCGAGACAAUAACCAGUCUGCUCAGGAAGUGAACAAAUAGACGCAAGAUCGCCAUUCAUAUAAAGAGAUUCAAACACUGGCGCUUGUUUAAUUAGUUGUGAAACACCCACAUCCCGCUCGCUAAUGCACACUCGGGAAGAAAACAUCGCCUGCCGUUUAGAAUCAACAGGAGGCUCACAACUCUCAACACCACUGGUCUUUUUCUUACUACGAGAGUACGUCAAUUUUUUUUCCUUUCCCAUUUCCUUUUCCUUUUCCUUUUCCUUUGUCUUUUUCUUUUUCCGAAGCUGCAGGUUCCUUACCCUUCUUCUUUGAUAACACUUCAGGAGUCAAAGCCGCCCAAUCAGUUGACUUAGUUUCAGAUUCAUUGCCUGGGGCAUAUUCGCUGCCCACAUCUUCAGCCGGUUGUUCAGGAGGUUGCGGAGCCGAGGAACGACGUUGCUUACUCCUACGGCCACCACCGGCCAUCAGAAACACAAGUACCAUCAACAUAGAAUACAUUGUGAAAGAACUCCCUGUUAACAAACCAGUAUUGAACCCAAUGAAGCAUUCGAAUAUCACUCUUUUAGACAUUUUCAAUAAAAAUUCAGAAAAAUUAUCUAGAAAAUUCUAGGGCCUCACGAAAUCAUGAACGAGCACAUUCCAGCACACAAUGAUGUCAAACAAUGUAAAUAGUCAGCCACAAAUCCAAACUUUUUUAGAAAUUGAUGUAUAAGGUUCGAAAUUUCAAGACGAAACACAAUCCGAGCCAAUACAUGAAACGAACCAUGGAAAAAUGCAAUAUGAUAUGCUCAAACACCUCGAGAUAAAAAAAAAAAACUAAGCAUAACACAAGAGUUCGGACAAGAUUUCUAGUAUAAUCACCAAAAAUCACAAAAAGAACACAUUUUCGGAAUAAGCAGUAGGAAAUAAACAAAAUUUGAAAAUCUUACUGAAAACGAGAUGAAAUCCAAGAAGAACGAAGGCAAAAACACUCCGGGAGGUCUAGGGUUCGAAGGAGAGGGUUUUUGAAAAGUUUUGGAAAAAAAUAAAGAUAGAUUGGCCGUAGUUGCAUAUAUGAGGUUAGGCGGAGAUCCGGACCUUCCAGCCAGGGUUCGGACCCUGUAGCUUGUAAAACCCUUUUUUUUUAUUUAUAUAAAAAAUGCCCAACUUCAGUAUUUAUAUGCGUGAAAUCCCAAUAACUUUUAAACUAAAAUUUCAAGAAUAUGUCAAACACAGUCAACUUCAGAUAACAUUAAAAAAUGUCAUAAAUUAAUUUGAACACCAAACCAGGUAAUGCCUAAAUGGGCAUACUGUUCAAUUUAACACAUCAAACAAGAUCUAAAAAUGAAUUGUAUCUUUUUAUCAUCAAAUCUGCUAAAAUAAUGAAUAAAAGAAUCCCAAAACUUGAAGUCAAAAUAAUAUUGGCAAAUUGAGUUAUGCACAAAGUUUAAAGAAGGGAGUGGCUCUUUGAGCAUCUUUCAAUAAUCCACCUUAUAUCGCCUCAGAGAUGUAAUUACGAUAUACUUGUUUUUUUUUUUUUACCAUCUCCGAAACAUCUCCAUAUAUACAAUUUUUUUUUUCAAUAUUUUUUUUUUAUUUAGAGAUGUAAAAACAUGUGGUAGCUGCACACACUGACCGAACGACCGGGGAGGUAGCUCUUUCCUACAUGUGGUGGUAGUUUUCACACUCCCUGAAGGGAUGUAACUCUUUCCACAUCUUCAAAAUUUUAAUGGCAAGUACCAGAAAGACUCCCCCUAAAUAAGUGCAACCCCCAAGUCGACAAUAGUAUGAAGAAUUCAAGAAAUAGAAAAACCGUUAUUCAUACCGUAGCAAAUAAUCAAACAAAACUGAAACAAUACUUAAAGUUCAAGGCAAGAGGUGUCGAAUUUAACAAGAAUACCCAAGCAGAAUUUAACGAGUUAAGUCGUUCAAUAACUAUGACAUUUAGGAAUAUAAUUGAAGGUGACUAAGUUAAAACUCAUCAUGAAUCAAUCAAAGUCAUAUCAUAGGAUUCACAAAGAGUGUGAAAUACAAUCAUGUAAAAACAAAUUUGGAAAAUGCAAUUAAGCAAAGUGAUUGUGCAUGUACUAUGGCCCAAAGAAUAUAUCUAGAUAAUAGGAUUCAAACCAAUAGUCUUUCGUAAAUGUAGAAAAUAUUUUUGAUCUAAAGGCUUUGUCAAAAUGUCAGCAAGUUGAUCAUCAGUAGAAAUAUAUUCGAGAUGAAGAACAUCAGAUUCAACUAAAUCUCUUAAAAAGUGAUAUCGCAGUUCAAUGUGUUUUGUUCUAGAGUGUAAAACAGGAUUUUUAGAAAUAUUUAUGGCACUUAUGUUAUCACAAAGAAUUAUAAGAGUGGUGGAGGGGAUCCGAUAGUCACUCAGUAAACUUUUUAUCCACAAUAAUUGAGUGGAGCAACUACCGGCCGCAAUAUAUUCAGCCUCAGCAAUGGAGAGUGCAAUGCAGUUCUGUUUCUUACUAUGCCAUGCAACAAGGCAAGGACCAAUAUAAAAACACGCUCCACUAGUACUUUUCCGAUCAUCCACAGAGCAAGCCCAAUCCGCAUCUGAGUAUCCAAUCAAAUCUAAAGAUAUUUCUAUUGGAUACCAAAUGCCAUAAGCGGUUGUACCUUUAACGUACCGAAUAAUCCUCUUAACUGCUUUCAGAUGAACUUCCUUAGGAUUAGCUUGAUAGCGAGCACAAAUUCCAACACUAAAAGCUAUAUCCAGUCUACUCGUAGUCAAGUACAGUAGACUCCCAAUCAUGCUCCGAUACUGUUUCUCAUCCACACUUUGUCCCUCAGCAUUUAGUCAUUGUCCUUUAUUACUUGUUCCCAUCGGAGUAUCAAAGUCCUUUGCUCUAUCUAGUCCAAAUUUCUUAACCAAUUCUUUCGUAUACUUCGUUUGGGAUAAAUGAAUUCCAUCCUUUGAUUGUUUAACUUGAAGUCCGAGAAAAUAAGUAAGCUCCCCUAUCAUUGACAUCUCAAAUUCACUUGUCAUCAGUUUUGCAAAUUCAGUGGCAUCUUUAUUUUUAGUUGCGCUAGAAACAAUGUCAUCAACGUAAAUUUGUGCCACAAUAAAAUCAUUUUUCGUGUGUUUCACAAAAGAAUUCUAUCCGCUCCCCCUCGGUUGUAGCCCUUUGUUAAAAGAUAUUUUGUUAAACGUUCUUACCAUGCUCUCGGAGCCUGUUUGAGUCCAUAAAGUGCCCUUUUCAAUCGAAAAACAUGAUCCGGAAAUUUUGAGUCUAUAAAACCUUUUGGUUGUUCAACAUAAACCUCUUCUUUUAAAAAUUCGUUUAAAAAUGCACUUUUAACAUCUAUUUGAAAAAGAGUAAUUUGAAAAUGACAGGCAAUUGCGAACAAAAUACGAAUUGAUUCAAGACGAGCAACUGGGGCGAAGGUUUCAUCAAAAUCAAUUCCCUCAACUUGUGAAUAGCCCUGAGCAACAAGUCUAGCCUUGUUUCGAAUGAUAGUACCAUCCUCAUUUUUCUUAUUUUUAAAAAUUCAUUUGGUACCAAUUAUAUGUUGUUGCUCAGGACGUGGCACUAAUUCCCAGACAUCAUUACGCGUGAAUUGACCAAGUUCUUCUUGCAUAGCAUUAAUCCAAUAUUCAUCAAGAAGAGCUUCGUCAAUAUUCUUUGGUUCAACUAAAGAAACAUAACAUGCAAAUUCACACUGAAGUUGUCUCCUAGUUUUCACACCAGUAAGAGGGUCUCCAAUAAUAUUUGAUAAUGGGUGAUCUUUCACGGGUGUAAGUUCAGAAGAAGUGCUAGGGGUUUCAGAUGAAUCAUGUGAUGCACUAGUUUCAACAGUUUCAGCAGAUUUAUCAAGAGCAGAAAUCUCAUCAUUCACAGGCAUAUUGAAUGGAGAAUCAUCAUCAUCAUUCAAAGUAAUAGAAGAAUCAUGCACAGACGAACUCACAGAAGAAGCUUCAUCUACUUUUAUGUUACUUGAUUCUAUCACCGUCUUAGUGCGCAAAUUGUACGCCCGAUACGCUCGACUAGUAGUAGAAUAACCAAGAAAGAUUCCUUCGUCACUCCGGGAGUCAAAUUUUCUAAGAUUUUCACGAUCCCGAAGGAUAAAACAUUUACUCCCGAAGACACGAAAGUAUUUAAUAUUCGAUUUUCUACCAAUCUACAAUUCAUACGGAGUAUUUAAAGUACCCGGGCGUAAAUAGAUGAGGUUAAUUAUAUAGACGGCCGUGUUAACUGCUUCAGCCCAGAAGUGUAGAGCAACUUUCUUGCUAUGAAGCAUAACACGUGCUAUCUCUUGAACAACCCGGUUUUUACGUGCAACUACUCCGUUUUGUUGUGGUGUAUAGGGAGCAGAGAAUUCAUGUUUGAUGCCUUUUGAAACACAGAAAUCAAUAAAUUUUGAAUUUAUAAAUUCUCCUCCUUGAUCACUUCGAAUGUGUACAAUUUUAUCAUUACGUUCAGUCAUAAGACGAAGACAGAUUUCAGAAAAAGAAUCAAAAGUAUCAGCUUUUUCUCUCAAGAAAGCACACAAAACAAAGCGAGUAAAAUCAUCAACAAUAAGCAGGAUAUAUCGUUUUCCACCCAAACUCUGAAUUCUAGAAGGUCCCAUCAAGUCCAUGUGAAGUAACUCUAAUGGUUUAGAUGUCCCUAAGUGGUUCAAAUUCUUAUGUGCGGAUCUAGUUUGUUUUCCCAAUUGACAACCCCCACACACAAUGUUCUCUUUGAAUUCUAUCUUAGAUACACCUCUAACUACCUCCUUCUUAGUUAUCUUAGAUAGUUCCUUAAAGUUCAUGUGACCUAGUCGUUCAUGCCAUAAAGUAUCAGUCUCUAAUGUCGCUAGGUUACAAUGUUCAGUUGAAGAACUAGGAACUACGUAACAAUUGUUCUGUGACCUAACACCUUUCAAGAAAGAAUCAUCAUCAAGAGUCACAGUGCAUUCUUUUGCAGAAAAAGUAACAGAGUACCCGUCAUCACACAAUUGACUUAUGCUUAUGAGAUUUGAUUUAAGCCCUUCAACAUAAAAAACAUCAUUCAAAAUAGGGCCAUCAGAGAUAGUGACUAUUCUUUUUCCAACAAUUUUUGAUGACCGACCAUCUCCGAAGACCACAAAUCCUUUGGAAAUUUCAUUUAAAGAAGUAAACCAAUUUUUAUCACCGGUCAUAUGUCGUGAACAACCACUAUCUAAAUACCAAGAUGAGGUAUCAUAAGUAUGAAGUGAAGUGUGCAUGACAAGGCAAGGAAAGAGUUCACGUUUGCGCACCCAAACCUUACGUGUUUUGGGUUGCGUCGGCUGACUUGAUUGUAACGUUCGUUGCUUGUCGACGAUUUGAUUUAUCCUCUUCUUGGGAUCAUCCUUUUUCCGUUUCCAUAUUUGCUUUGAAUUAGCCUUUAGAUCUUCCUUCUUCAAUUGUUCCAUUGGUCUUCGAUUCAUGAGUGUUGUAGUACUUUUCGACUUUUCUUUGCAAAAUCUUUUCACAUGACCUACAAUACCACAAAGAUGACAAGUUUUGUUAGCAAAAGAAUUCUUAGGAGGAACAAACUUACCAUAAACCUUCGGAACCGGUUUUGUCGAGUGUUCGUCUACUUUCUUCAUCACUUGAUCGACAUACGUCCGUUCGUAUCCAAGUCCGAAUUUGUUUGUUUGACCAAGUCCUAGCAUCUUGUCAAGUUCGCUAGAGCCAGACGAGAAUUGAUUUAAAUCCGAUUUGAAUUGAAUAAUCAUUUUGGUGAAUUCCAUAUUGGAUUCUCUAGCUUCCGUGUAUUGCUUGGUAAGGAAAUUGAUAUUUUCAACAUGAGACUCCUUUUCCUUUUCAAGCAAUGCACACUUGUCAAGUAAAGAAUUGUAACCCUUAGUAAAACCCUCUUUUUCUUGCUCAAGAUUUUUUGUCAACGACUCUAAUCUUGUAUUCUCUUGAUCCAGAUCAUACGAUCUACGCCGCAAUUUCUUGUUGUGUUUUGCCACUUUCUUUGAUUCAAUAACAAGUUGGUGAUAUGCGGUGGCCAUAUCAUCUUCAUCCGAUUCUUCAUUCGAUGAGUUCUCCGAUGUAGAUUUUUCAUGCAGAGGAGACAUAGAAAUAGAGUCAGAGGAUGCUAAACACAUAAAAGUAGAAUCAUGUGCAAUAAGUGCCGUGGCAUUAACGUCCUCAUCACUUGAGGAUGACUCGUCAGAAGAAGAAUCAUCCCAAGUAAUGGUUUGCAUCGCUUUCUUUUUCAAAGACUUUUUAUUUGGACAAUCCGAUGCAAUAUGACCAAAUCCCCUACACUUAUAGCAUUGGAUUUGACCUUCACUACUUUUCUUUUUUUUUUGUAGAGUUUUUUUGAAAGUUUUUCGAUUUUUUAAACUUUGAAGAAGAAGAGGAACUCCCUUUUGAUUUGUUUGGCUUGGAGGAAGUUGACUUGGAAGGAAACUUCUUUCUAAAGUUCCGACGGAACUUCUUCAUCAAAAGAGCCAUUUGCUUCUCAAACUCUUCCAAAGUUACGUCUGAGUCCGAAUCCGAUGAAGAAGAUUCCACGUUGCCUCCUUUCGUUGAUUUUAGUACCAUACCUGAAGCUUUAGAAGAUAACUUGGAAGAAAAUGAAUUAGAAGGAAAAGUCAUCUCAUAAGUUUGAAGUGCACCAACUAAUUCUUCUACUUUUAAUUCAUCCGAAUGUUUUACCGUUUCUAUGGCUGCAACCUUAGGACGAAAUCGUUCGGGAAGGGUUCUCACAAUUUUUCUAACAAUUUUAGAGUCCGAAAUUUUCUCUCCGAAAUUAGCACAUGUGUUGAUAAUAUCUUGCAAACGAGUAUAAUACUCGGUAAAGGUUUCAUAUUUUUCCAUACGAAUAGAAUCAAAUCUACUAGUCAACAUUUGUAAUUUUUGAACCUUUACUAAGCUUGUACCCUCAUGUGUAAUUUAUAAAGUGUCCCAAAUCUCUUUGGCGGUUUCACACGUCGAGACACGAGAAAAUUCGGUUUGAUUCAAGGCAUUAAAUAAAGCAUUGAUACCCUUUCCGUUGAACGAAGAAAGUUCAUUUUCGUCUUUCGUCCAUUUAUUUCUAGGUUUGGGACCGCUAACAUUAUCGACCACUUCGGUAGGAUGUUUCUAUCCGAAUUCAAUAGAUUGCCAAACCCGCUGGUCAAUGGCAAUAAGAAACGCUCUCAUACGAACCUUCCAAUAAGCGUAAUUAGUGCCAUCGAAGAGAGGGGGUCGAUUAAUGUCCGCCCUCGGCCAUAGUUUACAACCUAUACCCGCUCUGAUACCACUUGUGAGAUAUGGAUCCCAAGGAUCUAAAAGGUAAAAGACACCUAGAGGGAGGUGAAUAGGUGUUAACGACAAAAAUAAAUAAACUCGAUGCAAACUAAAUGAGAAUGCGGAAAAUAAAAUCAACACACCGAGAUUUUAACGUGGGAAAACUCCAAUCCGGAGAGAAAAACUGUAAUACACUGGACUUUCACAAAUUGCAGAGUUCGAGUGUGUGGAAUGAAGUGUGGAACUAUUCUACACGUUCUAAAUGACCUGGACAAGUUUUUGAACAAGUUAGAGCGGGAUUGGAGGGUUAAAAGUGAGAAAUUGCAUCAAACAGGCGAAAUCAAUUUUUUUUGCUUGUUGUACCGGUACAGCUAUUACCUUGUACCGGUACAGACUGGCAGAAAUCUGGCAGUAAGGCUAAUUUGGUCAUUUCACAUUUUGAUCCUUAUCUAUUAGACCCCAGCUCGACCAGGGAGGUUCAGAUAUGCAUGUUUGAGCUCAGAGAAGUGCUCUCCCUUCUCUCUCUCUCUCUCUCUCUCUAGGGUUUCUCUCUCUCUACGAAGAAAUCGUCGAUUUUGCUCGUUUUCGUCGCCGCGCUUGUUCUUCGCUGUUUGCGAGCAUCGCAGAGCUUACGUGGACGUGUGAGAGAGUAUUUUGGAAGGCUUUUCGCAGCCCUGAACCAGGAGGUCACUGGUGGGAAGUCUAAGAAGGUAAUCGGCUCAACUUUUCCGUUAUCGACGUUCUAUUAGUCGCUUUGAGUAUGGAUUUCGAGUUUAUGCUUCUAGCUGUAUUCUUCUGAGGUUUCAGCAAGUAUAAAUGAGUUAUUUAGCUGCGGCUUAACCUCCUUAAAUCUGGGAUAAGCUACUUUGAAGCUCAGUAGAGUUAAGUAGGUCAUUUUGAAGCGAUUUCGGCACCUUAUGCGACUUGUUAAUGCAGUUUUGUAUGUUGUUUUCGCAGCAGGUUUUCGAAUCUAAUUGAAUGUAAUUAGUGACCUUGGGGAUUAGUGUGGAAGGUGUUUUAACCCGAGGAAAGCAAGAAUUUCAGGUAGAAACUGAAAUUUUAAGAUUCCGACGUGUGUGUAUUGAUCUUUGACGAUUUUGACGCCGUGUUGAUGUUGCUCGCAGCGAUAGCGCUUUUGACCUUGGGAUCAUCUUCUGUUGGCAUUGGAGUGUCAUUAGGGGCUUAACUUGAGGUAUAUACUUAGCCCAAAAAUAGGGAAUUAAGUUUCCACCUUGUACUUAUUACGAAUUUUGCCGAAAUUGGAGUUUUGAGUAAUCGUCACGGCGCGGUUUUAUUAUUUUGUUUUCAGCAGGAUUGCAGCCUUGUUGAGUUACAUAUUGGGAUUUCUUGUGACUGAUUGGAGCUUCAUAAUAGGUGGGUCGGACCUAACCAGAACAAGUGGAACUCCCCUAUGUUCUAUAUGUAUUAUAGAAUCAAUGUUGUCGUGGGCUUUUGUGUAUUCGAUAUAAAACUUGAGACGAGUCGCUAUACUUUAGAAUAAUUGAAUUACAAUCUCUUUAUUAUGUUCCUAGAACUAGAAAACAAUGACAUGCUUGUAGAGAACAGUGACACUCUCCUGACUGCUCUAAAGUAGAGAACAAGAACAUGCUGGAUGCCUAUGUUAGUCUUAUAUGUUACUAGUGGAUACUAGCUAUUGUUCAUAUGCUUGAUCUUUUUAUACUGAAAUUCCGAUCAAAGGAUCGAGGGUAAGAACAUUACAAAUGAAAACAUGAUAAUUGAGACAUGUGGACUGUAAAAUAUGCUUGCUUGCCAUCGUGCUCAUUCGCACACGCUUGUGAGGGUCGCUCCCUACAAGCCGGCACUCCGGAGUUGGCCUACGCGACAGUUGCUCGCCCGUGCGGGAUUGGGUGCCGAAGUGGAUUGCCGUGGGGAGUGUAUACUACCACGGGGCCAUUAGGCGCGGCGCAAGCUGGACUACCUUGGGUAGGUCCCUGUGAAUGAAAAGAAAGUGCUAAAGGACAUUAGACAGUAAUGAAUGAUCACCAGUCAUUGUGUAUAGUUUCUGCUUACACAUUCAUAUUUAUGUUCAUGCUUUCAGUAGCUGCUAUGCUUUUAUUGUUCUAUUCAUUACUGUAGAAAGCUAUUACAUGUUGUUUACAUGCUUAUUAAUUGCUUAGCCUUGGAAAGAUAUCCUGCAAUUACAUGCUCAUUACUUGUUAACAUCAUGCAAUUAUUGCUUUUACUUUCCAUUGAGUACAUUGAGCCUAGUGGUGUAAUUCGCCGAGGCUGGCGGCUUACCCACUGGGAACUAUUGUUAAUAGUUCUCACGCCCUUUUGGUGGUUGUUUUUACAGAGCCAUCUACAGGAGAGGCUAGGGAUCGUGGCAAGGGAGUCGCGUCUAGCUAGACUGUGCUAGGAGCGUGCUAGUCGAUCACCUUGCUACUCGGGCUACGGCCGAGGGUGAUGUCCAUUGUAUAGAGUGGCUACCAUUGUACAGAUGUUUUUGUGUACCCUGUAUUGUAUAUGAGUUGUAGAUCCAGAUGUUAUAGUUCAUACUUCUUCUCCUUUUGCUGAGAUUUUGGAUUGUAUACUCUUUGUUCUUUUACUGAUAGUAUAUCGACUUGUACACUGCUCUGAUAUCAGGAUAGGACUCUCUUUGUUGUGCUUCCUAGCUACUUGCUUUCUUCGUAGACGCCUUAUAUACUGCAGGUGUAUGGCGGGUCUGUGCACGUACCGGAUAUGCUUCCGCUGGUACCCGGGCGUGACAAAAACCCACGGGACCGAUCACACAAAGAAAUUCACUAAGAAAACUUGAGUACAAGUGAUUUACCGAAAAUACACGACUCAAUUUACCGAAUCCUCAUUGUAGAUUGUCUUCGCCGGUCCUCGAUCGAUCAAAGUCCUUCGAUCGAUCCUGCCGCAAAUCCUCGCAGCGUCAACGCCUCGACUCCUCGAUGCGUCCACCGAAUCCUCGGCCUCACACGCGAUCCACGCGCAUUCGCUCCAUCCGAAGCUCGUUGAGAUCAACAAUUUGUGGUGAUUGAAACACUUAGAAAGCACAUAUGAUAUGAGGAGAAACCCUAAUUAGUUCAUCACCGAUCUAAUCCUUAAAGAACCAUUGAAAUUAGAAUCGAAGAAUUGAAUCAGUGAUCAAAACUAAAAACUUGAUUUUCAAAACAUUGAUCGAAAAACUCUAACACAAGCUCUUAGGGUUUCAAAAAGAUUUUCUCUCUAAGCACUACACAUAUGGUACUCCUCAUAUCAUAUUUAUAGGAUUAGAAGACUUCUGGAUUGACUAGGAUUUCAAAAACACAAUUUUAAAAACUGACGACGGUCUUAGGGUCUGGACUUCCCGAGGGUCCGGACCUUGACAGUCCGGAUCGUGAAGCUACAGACCCUCUCCGCGUAUCAAAAAAUAUAUGGUACAGGAUUCGGAUCCUAACCAGAGGGUCCGGACCCUCGCUGCGUGACAAGAUUAUCCGGCUACGGGAUUCGGAUCCUAACCAGAGGGUCCGGACCCUUGCUGCGUACACGCAGAGAGGACCUACGGGGUCCGGAUCCUCCUUAGGGUCCGGAUCCUUAAACUUGAAAAACUCAGAGUUUUUCCAGUUUUAUAUUUAAAAACCAAUCCUAAGUCUUCUAAACACUUUUACUCAAGUAUAAUUUCACCACAAACUAUUAGUCUACAUACUUGAGUAGACGAGCAUCACGAACGAGUCUUUGGCUCACCAGUCUUGUAAUCUUAGCUUCAAUUCUUCAUCUUCAACUCUUCAAGACUCCAUUCGACUUCACAAAAUCCGCCAACUUAGAAAAAUCCUUAACACGUGGUACACCAGGAGUUGGCAAUAAAGCGCCUGAAGGUCAAGAGCAUUUAGGCGGGAACGGUUGAGAAGUGGGGCGUAGCUUCCAUGAGAAGUGGGGCGUAACUUCCAUGAUCAUGGCUACACCACUUCCCCCACUACUAUAACCAACCAAUAAUGUGAGCUGAUAAGAUAUUAUAAAUAGUAACUUUAAAGCCUAUAAUAGGGGUCUUUCUCUCCUCUGAACGAGAAGACCACCGCAUUUUCAAUACUUUCCUUUCCUGCAUUUAUCGUUUUCUAGGAGUAGUCUACAUGUAAUCUUUUUUAUCCGCAUUUAUUACUUUCCUAGGAGUAGUUUUUAAGUUAGAUCUCUGGAGUCUGUAUGCCCUACGAGCAUACUUUGUUGUAAUCUAGAUUUUCAGAGCUUGUAUGCCCUUCGGGCACACUCUAUUUUGUAUGAGUUCCCAACUUCAUUUUAAUAUGUAAAGGCAUUCGGCUCUUUCAGCCGACCAGUCACUGUAUUCCAUCUAUUCGACUCAUCAGCCGACCCAAAACCUUGUGCAUUCUGUACAUUCGGUUCUUCCAGCUGAACCGAGUCUAUAGUAAAGGUCUUCGAACUCGUCUGAUCCGAUCCCUCAUCAGCCGAAUCGCUUGAUCCAGUCGAAGGGCGCAAACUUCAAGGGUCACUAAUCAUAGCCGUUCCGCAUUCCGACGCGCUUCCCGAGGAAGAACUUUGAUCGGGUCAAAGAGAAGGGAAUUCGGCUCCUAACACCCUCUUUCAAAAUAUGUAAAAAGUACAUCCAUUAAAUAUCUUCAAAAAUACAACUGACAAGUUAUUAUUACAGCUAACUUUCUCUUAAGAAACAAAAUUCUCAUCUAACAUAUAAAUAAAAAACAUCAAAUAACAAAACAAGAAGAAAGAAUGUAAUACUCCUUAAAUAGUGUCAGUAUCCUCUCAAAUAAUGCAACAGUUUCUUCCAAGUCGUGCAAUAUUUGUGCAAAUAGUGCAACAUAUGUAUCAUUUAUACACAUAUUACAUUAGGGUCCAGACCCUGAGUGCAAGGUCCUGACCCCGUACAUGAAAAUUCGCAAAGUUAGCCAAACACUGUUGUGGGAGGGGGCUAGGUGCAAUUGUGCCAUGUGAGAGUGUUUAUUAGUGGGUGCCUUAUGGUUUAGCCCUCAUUUCCUUUUACAUUACCACAAAAGAGAAAGCUCUUUCUCUCUCUCCCUUUCUCUCAUUUUCUCUAGGGUUUGAUCUAAAAGAGGGUUUUGGUGGAGAAGAAGCUUGCUUAAGGGUGAAGUUAACUCUUGUGCAAGGGGUUUGAGGAGAAAAAGCUCGAACUUAAGGUGAGAUUUGUGAUAUGAGUUAGGGUUUGGUUAUUUACUUCUAGUUGUUACUUCUAGAGGAUAUGAUGGUAGGUUUAUCCAUGAUUCUCCAUGAAUUUGGAGGUUAUUUAGUAAAGAUGGAAACCCUAGGGUUGGAUUUAGGGUUUUGUAAAUUAUAGAAUCUAAUUAGGGUUUGAUCUCUUGUAGCCCUAAUUGGCGGAUAAACUGGCGCGUAGGAAGACUCGGUUUGGGAUUCCGACAAGUCUACAUCAUGAUAUUGGGGAAAAACCCCAUUUCGGCUUCGUUUGCCGUGGGUUGGGGAAAUUGGCGACCAUAAAUUUCGAGACUUGAGUUGCGGCUUUUCGGCAUUCUUAUGAGGCGGGGGGUGCUAUCCGAAAUCAUCGAAUUUCUCAUUAUGUCUAUGUUGCCUUUCUUGAGCAUAUAUGUAUAUUGUGUUAUUCAUGCAUUGUAGGGUAUUGGGAUAUGUGAUAUGGUUGAGAAAUCUCUUGUAUGUUUAGUGUAAAAGGAACAUAUGAAUUGAUAAUGGACCAUGAAUCUAGAGACCCUAUACAUGUGUGAAUUGGAAUGUUCGACUAUGACAUAGUAAACAAAGGCGACAUCGACAUUAGUGGAUAUGAUUAGCAUAUGAAAACUUAGCAUGCUAGACAAGGUAUGAGCAUUGUGGCAAGUGUGGCCAAGUAUCCUCAAAGUUGAGGAUUGGAUUAUACUCACAGUUGGCCUAUAUGCUUGAGGGCGGUAGCUCCCGCUCAAGUGGUGUGCUCCGGAGUUGUCACCAUCUGGGUUGUAGCGGAAUUCUCCCCAGUAGACGGUCCCGUCGGGUUGUAGCGGUAUUCUCCCCGACAGUAUGGGAUUUGGUUGGUGAGUUGAGGUUAACCAUGAGCUAACCAUGUGGAUUGGGUAAUGGCAAAGUUAACAUGGCAUGCAUGCAUUAUGAUUAUGAUUAUAUCACUUGAUGAUUCUAUUCUUGUUCAGGCAUUGUAGUAGCAUUAGUUUGGUUUGUUAUCUAUUUAUCAUUUUCCUACAUAUGCCUGAGUAGAUGUCAUGCCCCGGGACCUAGCGGAAGCCCGCCCGGCGCGUGCCCAAACCCGCCAUAUGUCUCAAACAUAUAAGGCGUCUAAAACAAAACGAUAAUUAAGGCAAGAAAAGAGAGAACAUCUAGCUAUAUCAGAGCAAAAUGUAUCUAUGAACUAUAAUAAAAGAAAUGAACAUAAAGCCGAAAGUCCACUAGAUAAAAGCAUGAAGUAGUACAAGAAGAAUCCUAUAUACAAAUGCUAAACAUAAAAACAUGGGUGGUCUCUAUACAUGGUAACAAAACUCUCUCUCUCACAAAAAUCAAAAAGAAGAGAGUGACCACCUAGAAACAACAGCAAGUUCCGCUAUCUAGCUAUGCGACUCCCUUGCCGCGAUCCCGUGCCUCCGCCGGUGCCGAAGGCUCUAAAAUAAAAUUAUAAAACAGAGGGCGUGAGAACUAUUGAAUAAUAGUUUCCAGUGGGCAAUUACUGGCUUCAGUGAAAUGCACCACUAGGCCCAAACUAAAAAGAGAUCAGUAAGCAGAUAUAAACAAAAGCGAUAUGUGCGACAAGUAAAUAAGUAUGAAUAUUUACUACCACAUGAUAUCUCUACUUAGCAUGAGUUAGCAUAAGUAAGAAAAGCUAUUCUCGUAUGAAUGUACCCAAGCAUCGCUAGUAUGAUGUCCAUAAGUCAAAUAGUAAAGAUGUCAUCGUUUACUAUUCUAAUCAAUGUCCACAUCGCAUGAUGAAUGCUCCAAAUCAAAUCUGAAGAGACCCGCCCGAAGACUGUCUGGCCCUGAGACCCACCCGUAGGCUGUCUGGCCGGUGCCGAGCCUAAUGACCCCGUGGUAGUCAACAUCUCCACUCUAGGAAUGAGCCUAACCCACGGCAAUCCACUUUGGCGCCCAAUCCCGCACGGCGAAUAUGUAUCGCGAUGGCUAUUUCCGGAGUGCCGGCUUGUAGGGAGCGACCCUCACAAGCAUGUGCGAAUAAGCACAAUGGCAAGUAGCGCAAGAUCCGUCUCAAGUACCAAGUUCUCAUGUCUAAAAACAUGGAAUAUAUAUAUCGAAUGUCCCAAAGGCCUAUCUCUAUGUCAUCAUGUCUCUAACGUGGAAUAUAGCAGAUGUUCAAUGGCCUAUCACUAUGUAUCUAUGUUGCAAUUUCACACUUUACUAUGUCAAGUGCCCCUUUAUAGCAUUUUUGUCCACUAAGUCCAAACAUGAGUUUAUGGCUAGCAAAUGCAUAAUUUGAGCAAUUUCUAACAUAAGAGAUAUGUUUCCAAAUCAUUAACACGAACACUUCUCACAUGCAUGAAAUUUACCCAUAACGCUCUACUAUAUAGAGUGAAAUUUUCAUGAUACAUAAGGCAUGCAUUUUAAGUGUUCUAAAAUUCAUAUAAAUCCUAUCUAGUAUGGAUUUGCAUUCAAAAAGACGUUACGACAAGUAUAACAAGCGUAGGGGCCAUUUUGCCCCGUUCUCAUAAAGCCAAACCCACCACAACUCUUGCGCUCCUUCGUUUGUUCCGACGAAAGUGUCCACUAGCCUCACAGCACCCUAAAGAUGUAGGAACAAGAGUUAAACGAACCUUACGAACAACCAUAAGGUUGAUUAUUAACCAUCUCAAGCUAAGGUGGAGAAAAACUCACCGAAUGCAAAUGAAGCUCUCUUGAUCUCCAAAUGGGAGUUAGAGCCAUUCAAAUCCAACCUAAACAAGGGUUCAAAACCAAUCAAUUGGGUCCCAAAGCCCUCAAAUCGAAAAUCCCCAAAAUAAACCCUAAAAUCCAAAUCUAGGAUUUUAUCUAGUUUAAAGCUCCAAAACUAAGAUCUAGAGGAAGAAAACUAGCCACUUACCUCUAGGAUGCUCCAAACCAAGCUCCAAGUGCUCAAGGGUUGAAGAUUGAUCCUCCACAAGCUCCAAGCAUAAGCUCCAAACCACAAAUGGGAAGAAAAGAGGGAGAGGGUGAAGCUCCAAGUGCUCUACAAGCUCAACUUCUUCUUCCUUCUUUUCCUUCUCCUUCUUCUUCUCCUUCUCUCUCUAAGGUGCAAGGAAGAGUGUGAAAUAAAGGAGGGAGAGAGGUGAAAUGGCCAUAUAGGCCAUCUAUUGUAACAAAAUCCAGAAAAGCCCCUCAACUUUGCAACUAUUGUACUGCCCCAACGGGGUCGGGAACCGAUCUCUCCCUGCAUGGGACCGGUUGCCUCGCUGACCGCCGCAACACUGUUCCGAUGGGACCGGUCUCUCCUACCAGGGACCGGUCCCCGAGAGUGAAAACUCUCAAGACUAAGCCAAAAUUUCAGAAUUCGAACUUUUUAGGUCGGAACACUUUCUACGACCCUCUACCAAGCGUGGAAAAGCUCGGAACACAUCCAAUCACUCGGACCUCGCAAUUUGCACAGGUCCAGUGUGCUACAGUAGACCUAGUGGGCGACUCGGCGGGGUCGACGGCCGAACCCACUGGAAACUUUCAGUAAUUCUCAUACCACCACUAACCCUGCAGAUUCUAGCGUGAGCGGGGCGGUCGAGGAUCGAGGCAAGGGCAUCGCGCCAUAGGUAGCGGCUUCCUGGGUUUAGUUUUGUACCCUAUAUAUAUCAUAUUUUGUUUAUGAUGAGAUAGUGGUUAUGUAUAAAUGUUGUAAAUUCAUGUAUUUUGGUGGCAUAUGUCAUGUAUUUGGAAAGGAAAAGAAUGUAAUAUGUAAAGCUUGUAUUCGGUUUAAAGUAAUCAAACUACAUGUAUGGUGUAAUAAUUGUAGUACUUUCACUUGUUGAUGAUUUUGUACCUUGUAUAUAUCAUCUUUUGUUUAUGAUGAGUAAGUGGUUAUGUAUAAAUGUUGUAAAUCCAUGUAUUUUGGUGGCAUAUGUCAUGUAUUUGGAAAGGAAAAGAAUGUAAUAUGUAAAGCUUGUAUUCGGUUUAAAGUAAUCAAACUACAUGUAUGGUGUAAUAGUUGUAGUACUUUCACUUGUUGAUGGUUACUUGCCCUCGUGCAAGUUAUGUAUAUCUAGACUUCUGCUUGAGCAAAACUUGUUAUACAUGUUGUUGUUGGUGAAGCCUUGGGCAGACAGGGGAGGUUUUGUCCGUUCAAAAGCGUCUAUUAGUGUACCCGAACCGACCAAAUUGGCGGUCGUGGGGCGUGACAGUUAGUGGUAAAGUAGUGGUGCCGCGCCUAGCAAUCGCCAAUUUGGUCGGUUCGGGUACGCCAAACAGACGCCGAAUGGACAGAACCUCCUCUGUCCGCCUAAGGCUCAACAACAUCAAUCAUGUAUAUUUAAUUGCCCAAGCAAACAUAGUCAACAUAUAUAAAUCAUGCGAGUAUAACACAAGCAAGAGCAAGAGAGAAAUACUAGCUAUUACAUUCACAUUCAACCAUUUACAUCAUUUGGUUUACAUGUUCAUCUCAUAAUACAUAUACAACUCUCCAAAAGUAACCUCACUCAAUAUACAUCAUAUCUCUCAAUAGGUACAUGGUACUCUAAUGCAAAAAGGAGGCUACUAACUAGGGCGCUAUGCCCUUACCACGAUCCUCGCCCGGUCCGCUCGAGCUAGGCCUUGCAAAAGAGUGGAAUGAGAACUAACAAAAGUUUCCAGUGGGUUCGGCCGCCGACUCUGCCGAUUUUUCCACUAAGUCUAAGCAGGCAUAAGUAGAGAUAUAAUAUGGUAAUGAAAUAUACUAAUAUAGUAAUGAAAUCUACUGUCAUACUAUUAUGCCUCAACAACAUGAUGAAUAAAGAUAUGAACAUAGCAAUGAAUUCUACUAACAUGUCACUAUGUCUCAACAUCAUGAUAUGAAUGAAAGAUCCACUAUGCUCAUGAUGCAUGGCAUUCAUAUACUUGUCACCCAAUCAUCUUGGCUAACCCUAAGGUUAAGCUCGAACUAACAACCAAAUCUCAUAGGUGAGGAGUGAAAGAUAUGGAUCCCGAGGAUCUAAAGGGUAAGUAACACCUAGAGGGGGGUGAAUAGGUGUAAAAACGGCAAACUCGAAAAUCUCGAUGCAAAUAAAACAAAGUAGCGGAAAAUAAAACAACACACCGAGAAUUUAACGUGGGAAAACUCCAAUUCGGAGUGAAAAACCCACGGGACCGAUCACACGAAGAAAAUCCACUAAGAAAACUUGAGUACAAGUGAUUUUGACAAAAAUACACGACUCAAUUUACCGAUUUCUUGUUGAUGGUGAUCUUCGCCGGUCCUCGAUCGAUAAGAAUCCACCAAUCGACCUUGCUGCAACUCCUCGCAGCGUCAACGCCUCAACUCCUCGAAGUGUCCACCGAAUCCUCGGCUUCACGCGAGAUCCACGCGCCGAACCUCCUUCCGGAGCUUGUAGAAUCGAAGAUUUGUGGUGAUUUAAUCUUUGAAUACCAUAAGCUAUGAGGGUUCGUCUUCUAAUCAAAUAUCAACUUGAUUCUCAAAGAAGAUCUUGAGUAAAAUCGAAGAAGCACGUCGAUUGUUGAUUUUUCCGAAACUUGUUAUGUGAUAGAAUCAUCGAAACGGAAAAACAAGUUUCUAGGGUUUAGAAUCAGUAAAUAUUCAAAGCCUUAAACUUUAAGACAACCCACAUAGCUUAUUUAUAUGUUUAGAAGCCUUAAAAGUAGACUAGGAUUGCAAAAAGUCCUUUUUAAAAACCUGUGUCAUCCUCAGAGACCGGUCUUCUCGAGGAGACCGGUUUGUGAGAGACCGGUCUCUCAAGUGAGGAAUUGGUCCCUCACUGCGUGACCAAAAUCACAACGUUUGGGAACCGGUCUCUAAAGCUUGAGACCGGUCCCUCGCCGCGCGACAGAAAUACCAAGAUUCGAGAACCGGUCUCUCAUCUCAGGGGACCGGUUGCAUCAAAGCUCACGCAGUGAGGACCUUAGGGGAACCAGUCUCUUGAACUCAGGGACCGGUCCCUGAACACAGAAAAGUUCAGUAAAAUAUUUUUAAAGCAAUCUAAGCCUUCUGAACUUAUUUUAAUUAAGUAUCUUCACCACAAAUGAUCUUUUCCUUAUACCUUAGGUGCCGAACUUUACGAGUGAGUCUUUGUUCUUCAAUUUAGAUCUUUUCUUCAAUCUUCCGCAAUCAACUCUUCAAGACUCCAUUCAACAUUACGAAAUCCGCCAACCUAUAAAAUCUUUAACAAGGAGACUCUGCGCUACGCACACCCGAAACCGUCUGCUGGGUAAGUACGUUAACCCAUCGUGUGACAGCUCUGGAGCUCACUGCUUGGGUGGAGCGACCACCGCCAAACUAGAACAGACUAAGUGAGUAUGAUCCAAUUCUCUCAACUUGAAGAUACCCUACCAACUAGGAAAAACAACAACUUAGAAAACUAUCUAUUCCAAUGUUCAUGUCUACGUGUCAUCACUACACUAGUUUCACAUACCAUAUAUCCACAACUAGGGAAACCAUCUAUCCCUAUGUUCAUGUUUAAGUGUCACCACUAUACUAGUUUCACAUGCUACUCGUUUAUGUCAUUACAUAGUUCAAGUUCACCACUUGUUUUCAGCACUAUAGGAUUCAUGUCAAGACCUAAUCCUCAUGCAUCCACUAGAUCAUGUGUCCAACUCACAAUGCUAUUUCUAGCAUGGAAGCAUGCAAGGAAUUGAAAUAUAUCUAUCACAUAUCCUACAAUGCAUAAUAACAACAUAUAACAUAUAUGCUCAACAAUAACAACUUAGACAUAAAAAGAAAUCCGUUUGCUUCGGAUAGCACUCCCCACUUCUGGGUGAUGCCGAGAUGCGAGAACCCAAAUCUCGCAAUUUAUGGACGACGAUUCGGCUCAACCCAAUGCAAACGAACCGAAAAGUGUACUUUUCUUCAACGAUUCGUCGGACGUUCGUAGGAACUUCGAUUUGAGUUGCACACCGUGUCGAUUUUACCUUCAAUUAGGUUUACAUAGGCUUAAUUUAGAUCAAACCCAACUAUGAUCAAAAGCCCUCAUGUGAAACCCUAAAAAUCCAACUAUUGCAAGAAUACACAUAACCAAUGAUUCAUGCAAUAAUCUAGCUUAGGAUUACCUAGGGUUCCAAUACAACCCAAUCAUAAGGGAUUAUAUAAAACCCUAACAUAAUAACCUCAACUACUCAUAAGGCUCACCUCAAGCUCAAGCUUCUCUCCAAGCUAAGGAUGAAGAAGAUGGUGGCUUGACCUCCAAGCAACUUCUCUCCAAGCAAUCUCCACCUCUUGGAGCUAACCCUAGGAGAGAGAGAGGGUUUAAAGAGAGAAAGAGACUCCUCUUUGGUUGAGAGUUAUGAGGGAAAUGAGAGAAAUAGGUUUAGAACCCAUCCUUAUACUCUUAUAUUGCAUAUUUACACUUGGCCCCUCACACAACUCAAGUUCAGCACAAACCACCAUUUUCACGCGUACGCCGGACCCUGAGAGUAUUUUCACUACGAAAAUUUCUGAAAAUUUCCUACAUUGCUCUCCAAGGUCCCACAUACCCGUAUGAACCAUUCCCAACAUUUGGAAUGUUCAACGGACCCUUCCGAAGCGCCAAAUACCACACUUUGGUCAAUUUCGAUCGAAGUUCAAUUUUACGCGUUGAGGAUUCAUUAUCUUACAAGUGGCAUUGUAGCUGAAGAGUUCAUUCCAUCUUACUUUACUGUUUAUUUAUCUACGAGCUAUGUUGCUAGUCACAUGGACUUAGUGGGUAGGCUGUUUAGGUUGGUGACAGAACCCACUGAGGACUACUUUGCUUCGUAGUAGUUCUCACACCCUCUAUUAUCUUUCUUUCUUGUAGAGCCUUUGGUUGUCGCAGCUGUUUCUGAUCAAGGUAAGGGAGUCGUGAGCUAGAUCCCUGUCUACCCCAAUCAUCACGCUAGAGGAGCACCCCUUUGGGAGAUAGUUGCUUUUGUAGCCAUGUACGUACAGUGGUGUUUAUAUGUAUAGACAAAAAUGAUGUUGUACCUUUAAUGUUUCAUAUACAGUGAUGCAUUUUGGAAACUUGUAUGUACAAUUGGCUUUAUAUAUGCAUUUCAGUUUUAACAGCUCUGCUAUUCUCUUGUAGUUGUACUUACAUGUUUGUAGAUUCCACUAUCGCUUUGUAUACAAGGAAAACUAUUGGGUAUACGGCAGGUCUGUUGGCGAGCCCGGGAAAGAUGGAAUCUGGGCCGUGACACCUCAAAACCAACUCCUCUUGGUGCAAUUCUCCUCCCCAGCCCGCAGCCUUGUUGGAGCCGCUGCAGACAUUAUUGGAUGCAGGAUUGGAGCUGAGUCGCUCAGUCGAUCCUCGUGCUAUGACGAUCAGCAACUGUAGGUAGAGCACGACAUCCCUAGGGCUCCCUUCCUAGCUUGACUUAUGUCUAAUUAACUCGGAAGACUGCGCUGGGGCUAAACAAGCGAGCCGAGCUCCAACUCGCCUUCAAAACAUUGUUUUUGGCCCCGUUUAUCUUCAACAAUUAGCGGAGGCUGCGGAGGCUAUUGUAGCACACUGAACUUUAGCAAAUUGCAAGGUUCAAGUGUUUGAUUAGUGUUCUGAUCUUUUCUGAAAUUUUUGGAGGGUCGUUGACUGUGUUUCGACCUAUUACUCGCGUCUCGAGAAGCGAGGAUGAGUACUUUGCACCAAAACCUCUAAACUGUAGGUUUUGGGUUGCUCUCGGAUUGAGCUCUGCGAGGCAGAGUACCGAUAUUGCAUUGCCCGAGUACCAGUACUGGACUUGGUACCAGUACGGCAUCACGAGGGUACCGGUACCCUGUAUAUUUUCUCGCUUAACCGAGGCUCGGGUUUACGCGCUCUGCUGCGUGGUACCGAUACUCCAGCCCGCGUACCGGUACGUAGUGCAGAUACAGUCUGCAUGUUGUUGAGAGGUCUUUUUGAGAUUGUUACAACUCUAUAUAUCUCCCCACAACCCCAUGAGAGCUCUUUUGAGCCCUAAACCGUGGAGAGUGAGGUAAGAGCUUCCCUCUCUUGAUUUUCUCCCUUUUUCUUGUGAUUUAGCUUAGUUUGAUCUCCUCCUUUUGCUUCUCUUUGUUUUAUAUUGGUUUUCCCACCUUGGAGAAGCCUUGGAUUGAGGAUUGGAGCUUGUUUGAGAAUAGAACUUCAACCCUAGCACCUUUCUAGUUAGGUUUGGAGCUUCAAGAGAGGUUAGUAACUUUGAUCUUCUCUUUAAAUCAUGUUUUUAUGGAUUUUUGUGAAUAAAACCUAGAUAUGUGAUAUUAGGGUUUUUUUUUAGGGUUUUUGAUUUGUAGCCUUUGGGGCUAAAUUGAUAGGUAUAGAACCUUCUUCUACAUUGGAAUAUAAGUGCUCUAGCUCUCAUUUGGAAUUUGGAAGGGUUUUCUACCAUUCAAGAUAAAUUUUGACCUCUUUAUGGGUUUGUUAAAGUUGUGUUUGUGGGGUGUUCGUUCGUUGCCCCUAACCCUCUUAGAAUUUUCAUUAGGGAGCUAGGAGACUAGUGGGCAUCCUCGUUCGUGCAAAGAAAGGGGAUACGAGGAGUUCUCAGUGGGUUUGACCUCACCGAAAUGUGAACUCCCCCCAAUGUUAUCUUUUAUAUUUUAAAAAUAAAAAAUCAUGCAUAUUCAUACUAGAUAGAGUAUAAUAAAAUUUUAGAAUGCUUAAAAUAUAUAUGACAUGUAUCAUGUUGUAUUACCCCUAUGUAGUAGGGAGAGAUUGCAUAGUAAGUUGCAUGUGAAAUGAUAUUCUCAUGAUAUGUUAGAAAUCUAUUAUAUUUAGUGAUAUGACAAGCUUUUACUUACUUAUGAACAAUGGACAUGUGUUAAACAUAGAAAACAACAAUGUCAUAAAGAGGCAUUUGACUUAGUAAACAGCUAAACUUUCACUCUAUGACAUAGAACUAGACCUUUAGGUUGCUAGUAUUUAUGCCAUGUUUGAGACAUGACGACCGUGUACUUGAGAUGAUGAUCAUGUUUGUUUGCCAUUUCUGCUCAUUCGCACAUACUUGUGAGGGUCGCUCCCGACACGUCCCGCUAUCGCCAAUUUUGUUGAUUCGGGCCAGUACACAGACGCCGAACGGACAGCACCUCCCUUGUCCACCCAAGGCUCAACAACAACGAGUACAUGUAUAAAGAAAUAAACAAUUCCCAGUAUAACAUUUCAAUAUACAUGGCUUGCACGAUGGCAAGCAACAAGAACAAGUAAAAUUAAACUUAACUAAACAUGCAUUCACUGUACUUUUGAAACACUUUAAUCCAAACUGUAAAGCUGAAUAACUAUAACAUUUAGCUAUUUACAUCAUUUACAUGCUUAUCUAUACAUCCUUUUACAUGUUUCUUUAACAUCAAAUAGAUUCAACAUGAAACCAAAAUGGGUAUAUAACUAUACUCUGGAGUCCACUAGCUAAGAUGCCGGGCUCUUGCCACAAUCCUCGGCCGCUCCGCUCGCGCUGGGAUCUGCAUGAUUAGUGGUGUGAGAACUACUAAAAGUUUCCAGUGGGUUCGGCCGCCGACUUCGCCGACUCACCCACUAGGUCUAUUAAGGCAUAUGUAGAUACGAAAAGAGAAUAGAUAGUAACCAGCUAUAACAUGUAACUACUACAAUGCCCGUACAAAGCUGAAGGAAAUAGUAGAUAACAUAUGAAAUUGAUGCAUGCAUGCUAUUAAUAAUCAUUACCUAAUCAAACUGGUUAACCAUUUGGUAAACAAUAACUCACCAACCAAAUCCCUAGUAUCGGGGAGACGUAAGCUACAUCCCGACGGGACCGUCUACAGGGGAGACGCUAGCUCCUAAUCCAGUUGAUGACCACUCCGGAGCUCAUCGCCCAAGGAGGAGCAAUCUUCCUCGAGCAUUAGACUAAUGUGAGUAUGAUCUGAUCCUCGUUUAGAGGGUCCAAUGAAUGACAAUGCCACACUUUAACUCUAACUAGCUUUUUAUGCUAGGUUUACAAUUCCAAUCUCGAUGCUACCUAAUUCUCUAGUCAUGAUGUCACCAAAAUUUACUAUUGUCAUAGUCCACAAUAAGUUCACACAUUCAUAGGGUUCUAUGUCCUCAUUCUAUUGUGCACACAUUCUCUACAUUGACAGGAAUUCAAUUGUUCAGUUAUUAACUGCAUAAUGACAAUUUUCCUAUAAUGCAUGAAUAUGAUAGAAUUUAUAUAUAGAUAUGCUCAACAAGGCGACAUAGACAUAAAGAGAGAUUCGAAGAUUUCGGAUAGCACCACCUACCUCGUAGGGAUGCCGAAAGACUAGAACUAACGUCUUGGGAUGUAUAAACAACUAGCUCUCGCGGCUCGAUGCAAACGAAGCUAGAACGAAGCGUUUCUUAAUUAGCACGUCGUAGGUCUGUCGAAAUAUCAAUUUAAGCUUCCGAGCACGCCGAACCUUCCUUCAUUGAGGAAUAAAAGAGAUUAAAUUAAUGUUAUAACAUCAUCUUUACAAUUUCUACAUUUCCCCCAAUUCACAUACUUAACCCAAUUUGCUUACAUAUUACUAUUAUAGCUUCGUUCUUUUUUAAAUUCCAAUGAUAACUCAAGUGUUAGUGAUCUAGAAUUUACAAACUAAAUCUUAAUUCCUGGUUACUUAUAAUUAUUCCAAAUCAAGAAUUACAAAUAACCUAUUCAAGUUAGUCAUUUCACAUACAUGUAUACUACUCAAUACAUAUUAUAGAGCUUAUUCCUUAGGUUUCAUAACAAGUAGAACUCUAGCAAUCUUAUAAUUCAACUUCUUUACACAGUAAUUAGAAUCAUUCUAAUUCAGAAUUUAGGAUCACUUUAGCUCAGGUUUCAUUCUUAACCAUUCUCAAGCAUACUAUAUACUUAUAUACAUUUACACAUAUGCUGCCAGCAUCAAUUUUGCUAAGUUUUUCAUAGUUUUAGGGGUUCCAAUAUCCAAUUCUGCAGCUUAGACCUCUUUAGAAGGUAAAUACCCAACCCUUAAACCAGGAAACAACCUAACUUCCCACCAAUUUCAGUUUAACUUAGCAACUCACAUGAAUACUAUACAUAUAGUUAUAUUUUGCUAUAUUCCAAUGACGUACAUUAGGAGCUUUAGAAACUAAGAAGUUCACAUCUCUACCCUUUAAAGAGUAACCAACAUGAACUUUAACAAGAAUCAGCAACUCUUACCUCUAGUUGAUGCUUUACAAACCAAUUUUCCUGCUCAAACUUCUUCUUCUCAGCUCUAAUCAUCAAAAACUGCACUUCCCCACUUUCUUCUUCACAUAACCAACACCUAGGGUUGUAGAGAGAGAGAGAGAAAGAAACAAAAUAAAAAGAGAAGGGGAGUUGAUUCCCUGUUCACAGCAGCUGGGGGAAGUAGCUCAGCUACAGAUAAGAUCAAAACAAGUGCAACUAAACCCCUCCACAAGCUGGAAUUUGUAAUUUUUACAAAACAGUCCCUGCUGUUUACAAAACAGUCCCUGCACUAAACAGCAGCUGGCAGCAGUAGCAGUUUUCAGCAGCAGCAAUAGCAAUAGCAGCAGCUGCUGCAACGAGCAGUAACAGUAGCAUUCAGCAGUAGCAAGUGCACUUAAAUUCCAAACAAAAACAGGAAUUCUGCUUUUACAAGUUAGUCUCUACAGCCUUACAAAACAGUCACUGCUACUUUUAGUGAAAAAUCUGCACUAGCACACCUAUUUCCAAGGUGAUUUCACACUUCUACUUAGCUUCAAAUACUUCCAAAUACCUACAAAACAUACUAAUAACCAUCCCAAGCUACUAAUUUAGUUCGGGAUUAAACCAAAUUACAUUUUGGCAUUAUCUUGAUCAAUUUGAUCAAGAUUAGCAAUGUGAUCAAAAUUCGAUGUAUUACACCGACACUCCGGAGUUAGCCUACACAACAUAUGCUCGCUCGUGCGAGAUUGGGUGCCUACUGGGUCGGCGUGAGAUAGGCUCAAUCCUAGAGUGGGAAUGUUGGAUUACCACGGGUAAUUAGGCGGCACAAGUCGGACUACACUUGUGUAGGCCCUUAAUUGAGAUUGAAAAAUGACAUGUAAAAAAAUAAGUGACAAUUACUACUUGAUAGUAGGUAUUGGUUGGACAUAUCAGUAUACUUGUCACACCCCGGGAUCGAUACCAAUUUGGGCCGGCCCGGGCACGUUAAACAGAUGCUGAACGAACAGAAUUUUUCCUGUCCGCCCAAGGCUCAUCACCUGUACAUUUUUAAGUAGAGAAAAGUACUAGCAGAAACAUACACAACGGCUUACACGAGGGUAAGCAAUAGCCAUGAGUGAAAGAAAGAAAGCUAACUACUACAUAAGUACUAUGAUUCAAUUUGAUCAUAUACAUUUCAUUCAAUUUAUACAUUCUUUGCAUCAUCUCUUUUACAUCACAUUAGCUUAAAAUGAAACAUUACAUUCUUUUCUCUCAUUUGCUUUAUACAUAAAUAUCUUCAAAUACAAAAGAAGGUACAUGGUAGGCUACUAACAAAAUGUAAACCCGACUCAGGUAGUCACUGUCUAUGGCGCGAUACCUUUACCGCGGUCGCUCGCCGGCUCGCUCGGUCCUGGCUCUGUAGAAAUAGUGGGGUGAAAACUAUAACGAAGUUCCCAGUGGGUUCGGUCCCAAUCUCACCGACUUUCCCACUAGGCCUAUCUCAGGCAUAAUAGAAAGGAUAAGCUGAAAGGUAGUAACCAAACUAUACACAUGAUACUAAUAUGCCUGAACAAUAUAGCAAUAAGGAUGCUUAAUAUAAAACCCAUGCAAUAUGCAAGUUCUUUAUUCUUUAUUCUUUGAUCUUUGUUCUUUCGUUCAAUCUCACGGCUAACCCGGGGGUAUCGCCUCAGUAACUCACCAACUCAAAAUCCAUGAUCGCGGGCCCUCAGCUGUAACGCACUGGACCUUUGUAAAUUACGAGGUUCGAGUGUUUGGUUGUAUUUCGAGCUUUUCCACACUUGGUGGAGGGUUGUAGAAUGUUUUCCGACCUAAAAAGUUCGAAAACUAGAAUUCUGGACGAGUCCUGAGAGUUUUUACUCUCGGAGACCGGUCCCUGAAAGGAGAGAUCGGUCCCCCAGUGAGCAGUGUUGCGGCAGCCUUGAGGCAACCGGUCCCUGGCAGGCGAGACCGGUCCCCGAGCGCGCCUACGCAGUGAGAGACCGGUCCCGCGCAGGGAGAGACCGGUUCCCGAACGUUGGUUUUUCGGGUUCGCAGCGAGAGACCGGUCCCUGCUGGGGAGAGACCGGUCCCUCUGGGCGAAAACUGCCCAGACCGGGCUGAUGUAAUAUUGGAUUUUUGAGGGGCCUCACUGGAUUUUGUUACACUAGAUGGGCUUAUUAGCUAUUUCCCUCUCUUUCCUCUCUCAUUCCCUCAUUCUCACCCUCUCCCUACACCUUCUAGGGAGAGAAGAAGAAGAAGAGGAGCUUGGUUAAGGGAGCUUGGAGCUCAACCCCUUUCUCCCUUUUUACCUUUGCAAGGCUUGGAGCUUGCUUGUAGAGCGUGGUGGUGGACCAAUCUUCAACCCUAGAAGAUUUGGAGCUUGUUUGGAGGCAUCUUGGGAGGUUAGUAUUUGGAUUCUACCCUUUGAUCCUUAAUUUGGUAGGUUUUACCAUAUGGAACCCUAGAAUGGGUGUUAGGGUUGAUUUUUGGUUCUUUUUGAUCUAGGGCUUUUGAGGCUAGAUUGAUUGGAUUUGAACCUUCCUUGGGCUUGGAUUGGAAGGGAUUUAGCUCUCUUUUGGAACUUGAGAGAGAUUUCCCACACAUUAGGUGAGUUUUAGCCCUUUUGCCAAGUUUGUUAAAGUUUGAUCUUAUAGUUGAUCGUAAUGCCCAUGUAUCUCUUCGCUCAAUACUUUUAGGAUAUUUUGAGACUCGUGGACAACUUCGUUCGGCGAAACGAGGCCCUACGCAACGGUUCGGUGGGUUUGACCUAGCCUGGCAUAUGAGCAAUUCUCAUAUCUCAUAUUUUAUGCUUGUAGAGUAAAAAAUCAUGCAUUUCUAUGAUAAAUGUAUUUAUUGUGAAUUUUGGGAUGCUUAACAUGCCUAUAAUAUGUGUAAGAAAUUUUGGGCCCCAAUAUACUAGAGGGCUACCGUGUGAGACUUGUAUAUGAAGGGCACCCUAUUGAGACUUGGAAUCAUAAUUCCUAUUGUGAAAAUGAGCAUUACCUUCAUGCAUUUUAAGCUAUUCUUACUUGAGACUUAAGGGAUCUUAGUAAGCCAUAAAGAGGUAUAUAACAAGAUCGACAUGUAAGAUUGUGAGCUAAUAUCAUAAAGCGGCAUUGAGCUCGGUUGUGUGUGAACCUAGUGGAUAGGGCCAUUGAGAGAAUUGGAACAUGUUUGUACAUCGAAAUGUCUAAGUGUCAUAAAGGGGCACUAGACCCGGUGAAUGAUUGGAGCUUCUCAUUAUGACAUAGAACUAGAUCGUUGGAUGCUAGUGGCUAAAACCAUGCUAGAGACAUGAUGAUUUGGUACUUGGGACGAUGAUCACGCUUGCUUGCCAUUUGUGCUCAUUCGCACAUGCUUGUGAGGGUCGCUCCCUACAAGCCGGUACUCCGGAGUUAGCCUACGCAACUUACGUUCGCUCGUGCGGUAUUGAGAGGCCAACGAGGUCGAGUGGGACAGACACAUUCUAAGAGUAGGGAUGUUGGGCUACCACAAGCACUUAGGCGGCACAAGCUGGACUACCUUUGGUAAGUCCUUAAAUUGGAAAUGAAAAUCGACACAUGGUUGAGAAUGAAUAAUCACUACUAGAUAGGAUUAGUAGUUGGAUUACUAUGACAUGCUUAUAGCAUAGUGUUGAGACAGGUAGUAUACUUGAUAGUCCUAUUUAUUGCAUCAUAGUAUACUCAUUACCAUGAUAGAGCAUAUUCUUCGUACAUUGUCAUAGUAGAUCAUGUUACCUACUUGCUCGCUAUGUUGGGAUAUAGUAUUCGUGCUUGGACAUACUUCAUUUGAAUAUAGUAGAUGUACAACCAUUUGACAUCUUGCUUAUGUGCAACAUAGUAGUUUAGCAUUUUAUUUUGCUUUCUUAAAUGCAAACCGUUUCUUUUUAUUAUUAUUCUCAUUAUUGCUUAUAGUACUUACCCGUUCCUUUUGGGGCCUAGUGGUGCACUGAGCUGAGGUCAGUAAUUGCCCACUGGGAACUAUAAAUUAUAGUUCUCACGCCCUCUGUUUUAUGUUUUCUUUCAGAGCCUUCCACGCCGGGAGAGGCUAGGGACUGCGGGAAGGGCGUGGCUUCGAGCUAGCUCUUCUGCGAGAGACGCGUCGCUAGGUGGUCCACCUCUCGAUGUUUUAUUUUGGAGAGGUUGAGAGCUGUACCAGUGUACUAGAGACCACCCUUUUUGUGUACCUUUGAGACAGAUAUUGUACUACUUUAUAGCUACUUUUAUUGUCUAGUUAUGUUUCUUUUACUUUGGUUUAGAUGAUAGAACUUUACUCGCUCUGAUAUCAUUAGUUGCUAUUUAUUCUAUUUGUUCUAUUUCUUGCUUUAACUUCCGCUUUUAUUGUAGACGCCUUAUAUGUAUAGACAUAUGGCUAGUCUGGGCACGCUACCGGGAGGGCCUCCGCCGGUCCCGGGUUGUGACAUCAGCUUCCUCCCGCUAGGACUGUCCUCUGAGUAACUUAACCCAGUGAUGACAAACUCCGGAGCGCAUCGCCCGAGGGGGAGCGACCACCCUCAAACAAGGACUUAUAGUGAGUAUGAUUAAUCUUUAGCUCUAAGAAUAUUCAGUUCAAUCUGUUCCUUAACUCUAAGGAAUUAUGCACAGAUGACCCUUAGUUCUAAGGUUGUAUGUCAUCGUGUCUCAAUUUCAUGUUCUAUGUAUUCUUUACUUUGACCAUGUCACUAUACUAACUCUAAUGUUCUUUGCAUUCUUUACUUUCAUCAUGUCUUUACACUAACUCUAGUGUUCUUUAUGCCACACAUUUAAUGCUAUCUUUAGCCAUUGUUCUUUAUGCCACAUUUUGUUGCUAACUCUAGCUUUUAUCAUUCUUUAUGCUACAUUUGUUCUCUUUGAUGCCACACAUUUGCUAACUCUAGUUUUUAUCAUCCUUUAUGCCACAUUUGUUCUCUUUGAUGCCACACAUUAACUCUAGUGUUCUAUAUAUCAUACAUCAUGCUAACUUUAGCUUUCAUUCUCAACAUGACAUUGUCCUCAUGUCAUAUGUCACGUGUUCUUUAACUUUACUAAAUUCUUAUCUCUUUUUACAUGCACAUAUAGGAUUAUUACUUUCUCAUUGAUUCUCAACCAUCUCAUGAUGCACUUGAACUCACAAAAUGCAAACAUUCACAUAUUUAAAAUCUCAUUACCCUACUAUGCAUGCAAUAAUAUACUCAUGGAUGCUCAAGAAGUGACACAUUAGACAUAAAGGAAAUUCUAACAAGUUUGGAGGCACCACCCACCUUGUAGGCUUACUUAGGUGCUACGGUGAUUUUCUUGAGAUUUUUAGACUCCUAGUUCGUCACCUGCGGCAAAACGAAGCCAAAUUAGGCUUUUUUGCUCAUAACUUUAUAUAGACUUUUCGUAACGUCAAUCCGAGCGCACCAACGCGUCGGAAAUACCCCCAAUUAGAUUUCUAUAGGGUCAAUUUCACUUUGGAACCUUCACAAGCAAAAGCCCCAAAUUUGGGUGCCUUAGCUUCACAUAUACCAAAUCUAGGGUUUUGAUCUCUUAAAGAAGCAAAAGAAAGCUUCAAAUACUUUAAAGGUUCCAUCAAAAUCAUUUCUAGAUCAAUCAAAACCCAUUCUAGGGUUUCACCAUGAGAGGGGUAGAAGCUUACCUCAAAGUUUCACCAUAUACACCCAAUCCAUGGUUUUGAUCUCAUCCACAAGCAAAAGAAAGCUUGAAAUACCCAAAAGGCUCUACUAAAACCAUUCAUAGGUUCUUUAGUUCUCAUCUUAGGGCUUUACUAUGAAAGGGAUCAAAGCUUACCUCAAAGCUUUCCUUUCCCUCCUCCAAAGAGGUAGAAGAAGGAGUUGCUCCACUCCUUGGUCUUUCUCCACCUUUUUUUUCUUUUUCUUCUCUUUCUUUGUCUUCUUCUCCUUGUCUUCUAGUGAGAGAAAGAGAGAAGAGUGUGGAUGUGAGAGGGAGAGAAUGAGAGAAAAGAGCUCUCAUAGCCCUCUACAUAACCCAUGCGUUGCAUUUUUUGCAAAUAAACCCCUCAGCUUUUAUUUUCUUGAACUGCCAGAACUGGGCAGUUUUCGUACUCGGGGACCGGUCUCCCCGACCUGGGACCGGUUCCCGUAGCUCCUCCUACGGGCAGCCAAGGCCCCAGCACAAUGCAACCGGUCUCUCCCAGAGGGACCGGUCUCUCGGGGACCGAUCUCUCCUUCAGGGACCGGUUCCCAAGAGCAGGUUCUCUGGGACUUAGCCAAUUUUUUCCUUUUCUCAUUUUUCAUGCGUACGGGGACCGGUCUCUCCUUUAGGGACCGGUCCCCGAGAGCUCAAAACCUGCAGAAUGCAGAUUUUUUAUUCUUAUGCUCUCGAAAAUCUUCCACAAUGCACUUUUACUCAUUUUAGCACCUUCGGUCAUUCCGAAGUGUACCAACCUCUCACUUUGGUCAAUUUGACUAAAGUUCGAUAUUUAUUUUCUGAAUUUUCGGUAUAUUACAAUACUUGUUGGACAUGCUUGUUGCAUAUUAGUAUACUUGUUAGAUAUGCUCGUUGCAUAUUAGUGUACUUGUUGGACAUAUUUAAAGCAUAUGACUAUACUCAUUGGAUGUACUCAUUUAUGAUAGAAUAGUAGUCACUUGAUGAAUAUCAUGCUAAAUUUGAGGUAUAGUAGCUUAGUAAAAAGUAUACUUGUUAAAUUUACUUGUUGUCUAAUUCAGUUUCCUUUUACUACUUUUCCCUCUAUAACCUAGUUGUGUAUUUCGCUAAUGUUUGCGGCUUACCCACUGGAAACUAUUGAUUAAUAGUUCUGUCACGCCCUGGACUUUAGCGGAAGCUCACCAGUCACGUGCACAGGCCCAUCGUGUACACCUCAACCUCAAGUGUACACCAGGCGUCUACAAAUCAAUAUAGCAAAAAGGAUAAUGUCAUGACCAGGUAAUCAGAGCAAAACGAAAAGUUCAUAAACUUAUACAACACAAAACCUUAUUACAACUUAAAAGAAAAGUUCAAAGUACAUUCUACAUAGUUCUAAUAUACAACACUGAACUAAACUAGAAAAGCUGAUAUGGUUCCAUCUGUUUAACAUCGAGGAGGCUCUAGCUAUCCGCUGACCCCUUGCCGGAACUCUAGCCUUUCCCGCUGUGGAAGGCUCUGCAUAAAACAAUCAACAAAAGGGCGUGAGAACUAUUAAACAAUAGUUCCCAGUGGGUAAGCCGCCGAGAGUGGCGAAGUACACCACUAGGUCAACUGAGGCAUGAGUAAACUAUAACAAGUAACACAGUAACUGCCAUAAGUAAAUAAAGUAAUUCAAUUACAACAUGCCUCAACAAGAUUAGUUUUCUAACAUGUCUUAUAUGUGAUUCGUCAUGUAUACAAGUUCUGUAAGUCAUGCCAAUUAUCAAUUUAAUCAUCUAUAUGUCAUGAUGAAUAUCAACAUUAUACUUAAACUAACUAAUGGCAAGUUAUGUCUCUACACUAAUAAGAGUGUAAAUAUACACAUGUCAUUACUAUGCUAUUGACUAGCAAGGAUAUCAAUCUCCUAGAAUGUUCACUGCUAGGUAUAUCCAACUAACGACAUAAAGUAACUUUACUGUUAAGUCCAUCUAAGGUUAAGGCCCUUAACAUUAACCCAAUUAACAAGAGACUUACACAUGGUAAAGUCCCAGCCCCGUCGUGCCUAAUGGCCUCGCAGAAGUUAACACUACCCGCAGCAAUCCACUUCGGCGCUCAAUUUCGUACAUAAGCAAGCAAUCUGUCGCUAGGCAAACUCCGGAGUGCCGGCUUAUGGGGCGCGACCCUCACAAGCAUGUGUGAAUGAGCACAAUGGCAUGCAAGCAUAAUCCAUAGCAUAACUAUCAUAAUUUCAUCAUGUCUCUAAUAUGGAAUCUCAACUCGACACCUAGUCGACUCUCAACACUAAGUCAGAAUACACUAUCAACUACUUGGUGAUAUAUUUCUACCAAUAGAUGGUAUGGCUUAAACAAAUACAUGCUUUACAUCAUAAUGAUGAUUCUAUCAGGCUAUCCCCGCAUACUCACACAUAGUCCUCUCACUACUUCUUAUACAUAAGGAAAGUGGUUUACUAAGGUCAUAUCCCAUUACUCAUGGCACAUAUUCUAUAGUUCUACAUACCUCUACUACUUGGGGUAAACAAAUAAUAUGCAAUUCUUCUACUUAACUAUACAAGUAUAUCAUCAUGUCCAAUUCUAGUUAUUUACUAGAUUACAAUCAAUAGUAUAACAUUCAAGUUAUGUCAUAAUGCCAAAUUUUAGUUACUUACCUAGAUCAUACCUAAUAACAUGAGGUUCAGGCUAGUUCUAUCAUGUGAAAGUGAGAACCAACUGGUUAACAUAAGUACGCAAAAUAUCCUAUAAAAUACUCUUCACAUGAUCAUAUAUAAUUCAUUCUACACUAUGAAUAUAUACUUAUGUAACUUCAUUCUACAUGAUAUGCUCGAAGUUCAGACAUCAUGUUUAUAACGUGGAAUUGCACGAUUUAACUAGGAGGUUAAGAACCAUUAUACCCCGUUCACUUAGUUAUACAUCCAACUAAGUGCCAUAUUCAUGGCUUUAUCUCAAUGCAUUAAUAAGUGAUGCUCUCUCUCUCUCUAACUUAUCUACACAAGUAUAUUAAUAUCAUGUAAUACAUGCUAAACUAGCAAGUAAUCUCUAGAUGCGAAGUAAUUUCAUAAUUCACCCCUACUACAUAGAGGUUUUCUUUUAUCCGAUAUAUUAUGCAGAUUUAUACAUGCCCAAUCUCUUCAAAUAUACAUAUAUUCACAUGAAUAUGCAACCAUUCCACUUUUAUAAUGUCAAGAAGACAUAGAGGGAAUUCACCAAUUUCGGGAAAGUCCGAUCCACCUAAUUGUUGUCGAUUCUCGUCGAUCCCACAAUGAAGGUAAUCCGAAGCUUCCAAGUACCCUGACCAACAUUCUAAAAUCAGCUAGGAACUCAACCAAGUUUCCACAUAAUAAAUCCACAUAGUACAUAAUCUAGGUUAGAAUCUCACCUAGAAUAAAUCCAACUUGGAUUCCACUUCAAUUCUGAUUGGAGUACAUCAAAAUUACCCUUCUGAAGCUCACAAAUUCCAGCUAAAGGGAUUCAACAACCCGCUGCGAAUUCUGCUGUGAACAUGCCCUAUAACUCCAUUAAUACUCUACCAACACAUCCAAAUCAGCAAAAGGUUAAGUUGCUCACCUUGCAUAGCUCCAACUCAGGUUGAAGCACACCAACAUCGAUCUACAAGGAUCUCCUAAACCAUGUCAAAGUGGUUCAAAACCCUGCUGUGAGCUAACCUCAACAGCUUAUCAAUACACCUACUAUACAUGAAACUAGAGAGAGGAGUUACUAAUUCACCUUCCCAACGCUUCAACUCAGCUUCGACUGAGUUAGGAGUGACGAACCACAGCUAAAAUAUCUCUUCUACAGCUGCUACAAACCUCUCCACAUCAGCUAGCAGCAAAGAAGCAAAGAACAUGCUCAACUUCACUAUUAUAAACAUUCUAGCAUUAAACUAGAGAGAAAUUGCCUUAUUUACCUCACAAGGCUUCAACUCAAUUUCUAGCUGAGUUAGGACUGCGAAACACAGCAAAACCACUCUUCCUUCGUUCCAAAAGCUGGCCCCCAAAUCUUCAAAUCAGCUAGCAACAAGAGAGGGAAAGGAAACUAACUCAAAUCCAACCAUAUCCUCUAUACAUAGGGUAAUAAGUAGAGAUUAACCUUCUAACCUCUAAUCAAACUCACCCCCGGCUAGGUUAGAGUAUAAUCCUCAACAAGGCCUCCUUCCUCACGUUCUCAUAUCCUCAAGGAGCUCCCAACCAGCAACCAUAAGAAGGAAAAGAGAGAAAACCUCAAAUCCAUCAAUUUCCACUCAUACAUGGAAAGAAAAUCUAAAGAGAGAAAAAGAUGAGCUCUUACCCUUAUCCUCAGCUCCAGUAGGAUAAGAAUGAGCUAAGGGGUCGACCAGGGGCUUAAGAAGAUAAGCUUUGAAGCCAAAUUACCAAUAAACCCUUCAAUCCACGCAGCUGUUGUGCUGGGUACCGGUACUCGGGCAGGGUGGUACCGGUACUCAGUGCAAAUUCCAGAAUUUCGCCGCUUUAAUGCACUUUUGCUCUUCUGGCCAUUUAAUCACUCAAGUAACUUGCCGAAAACCUCUCGACAACCCUUAGAAAGAUGUAGGAUAUCUCCAAUUGCUAUUCCAACACUCGAACUUCGCAAUUUUGCCAAAGUUCAGUGUACUACAAGUUCUCACGCCCUUUGUGUUGUUGUUUUUAUUUACAGAGCCUUCCACUCCGGGAGAGGCUAGGGACAGUGGCAAGGGUGUUGCCCCUAGCUAGACAGAUUGGUGAUUGGACUAGGUGGUCAUCUCUCUUUUGGUUUUAGUUAUGGAGAGAUAUUUUUGUACCCAAUGUAUAGAGACCACCAUUUUUGUAUCUAGUACCUUGUAUUUGGAUUUUGGGAUGUAUUUACUAUAUGAUUUAUGCUAGUUGUUUAGCUCUUUAUAUUCCACUUGUCAUUAGAAAUUAGUUGUUGUAUGCUCUGAUAUCGCACUAGAUGUUUUAUUUUUUCUUGUUUCUUUAUACUAUUGUUGUAGACGCCUUAUAUUUUGUAGGCAUAUGGCGGGUCUGGACACGCACCGGGCGGGCUUCUGCUGAGUCCCGAGGCAUGACAGCUGUCACUGUCACGCCCCGGGACCGGCGGAGGCCCUCCCGGUAGCGUGCCGAGACCCGCCAUAUGUCUACACAUAUAAGGCGUCUACAAUAAAAGCGGAAGUAAAAGCAAGAGAUAGAACAAAUAUAAGAAAUGAAAUAACUAGCAACUAGUGAUAUCAGAGCAAGUAAAGUUCUAUCAUCUACACCAAAGUAAAGAAAUAAAGCUAGUUAAACAAAGAUAACCAUAAGUAGUACAAUAACUGUCUCUAGUACAAAAAUGGUGGUCUCUAUACAUAUACGGGUACAACUCUCAACCUCUCACAAAAAGAAAACACGAGAGGUAGACCACCUAUCGAACGAUCCCUCGGUAAGCGCGCUAGCCCGAGGCGAUACCCUUUCCGCGAUCCCUGGCCUCUCCCUGCGUGGAAGGCUCUGAAAAACAUCGAGAAAAAGAGGGCGUGAGAACUAUAAUUUAUAGUUCCCAGUGGGCAAUUACUGACCUCAGCUCAGUGCACCACUAGGCCCCAAAGAAAAGGGUAAGUCUAACAAUAAGAGUAACGAGUAAAUUGCAUAUUAGAAAGCAUAAUAAUUAGGAUGCUAAGCUACAACUUGCAAUUAAACAUGGCAUUCCUAAUGCGACUUUAUCUUGUCAUGGAUAUAUAUGUUCACAAGUAAUAUCAUGCUUUACUUUAUACAGAUAUGAAAGUAAUACUUGGUCAUGACUACAAUGCAUAUAAGGAUGCAAUAAACAACAUCUCCUAGCAUACUACAUGUAUGUAUGAAUACCCAAAUGUCCACAACUAUGCUAGAAGUAAGUCCAAGUAAUCCUACUACUACUCUCUGACUAGUAGUGAUCAUAAUAAACUCAACACCGUGUCGAUUUCCAUUUCCAAUUAAGGACCUACCAAAGGUAGUCCAGCUUGUGCCGCCUAAGUGCCUGUGGUAGCCCAACAUCCCUACUCUUGGGAUGUGUCUGUCCCACUCGACCCCGUAGGCUUCUCAAUACCGCACGAGCGAACAUAGGUCGCGUAGGCUAACUCCGGAGUGCCGGCUUGUAGGGAGCGACCCUCACAAGCAUGUGCGAAUGAGCACAAAUGGCAAACAAGCAAGGUCACUGUCUCAAAUACUCUAUCCGCAUGUCUCUAACAUGGCAAGGUCACUAGCAUCCCAAGGAUCUAGCCCAAUGUCUCUAAGUGAUGUCCCAACACUCACUUGCUUAGUGCCUCUUUAUGACACUUAAGCAUCACACUGAUCAAGCUCAAUUCUUGUUCUAUGUUUCAUUUAAACAUUAAUACUAAUGACUACUAUAGCCCGGGCCCAAUGCCUCUUUAUGACAUUGGCCCAAUUCUCAAAUAGUCCAAGUUCUCAAGCCCUCUCUAGGCUUCUAAAAUUCCUAAUGUCCCAAUUGGCAUAUAGGUUAAAUGCAAGAGAGCAAGAUCCGUUUUCAUAAUAGGGAUCAUGGUUCCCAAUCAUAACUAGAAUGCUAAGUCUCACAUGCAUGCACUCUACCACAUAGGGGUCUAAAAUUUCACUAUACAUAAUAUAUGCAUGUUAAGCAUUCUAAAAUUCAUAUUAAAUACAUUUAACAAGGAAAUGCAUGAAUUUCUAUUUUACGAAACAUAUUUUGCCAAAUAUGAGCAUUCCUGAUAUCAUAGGCUAGGUCAAACCCAGCGAAACGUCGCGUGCUCCUUCGAUUCGCCGAACGGAGUUGUCCACGAGCCUCAAAGUACCCUAAAAGUGAUCAGCGAAGAGAUACGAGGGCAUUACGACCAACCAUAAGAUCAAACAUUAACCUAGAAGCAAAAAGGGCCAAAACUCACCUCAAGAGAAGAAAUCUCUUCCAAAGCUCCAAAAGAGAGCUAGAACCCUUCCAAUCCAAGCCCAAGGAAGGUUCUAAACCAAUUAAUCUAGCCUCAAAAGCCCUAGAUCAAAAAGCCCCAAAAUCAACCCUAAAUCUCAUUUCUAGGGUUCCAAUACAAUAAAACCUCAAAUCCAAGGUCUAAAGGGAGGGAAUGAGUAACAAACCUCCUUAGAAGCUCCAAUCCAAGCUCCAAGGGUGAAGAUCUCCCCCUUUGCAAGCCCCAAGUCCAAGCCUUCAAGCACCAAGGAAGAUGAGAGGGUGAGGAAGAUGCUCCAAGUCCACUAGAAGCUCCAAACUUCUUCUCCUUCCCUCCUUCCUCUCCUUCUCCUUCUUCUUCUUCUUCUCUAUCAAGGGUGUAGAGAGGGUUGAGAGAAGAGAAAUGGGGAGAGGAGAGAGUGGAGGGGUCAUAUAGACCCUCUAUUGCAACAAAAUCCCAAGAGGCCCCCCAAAAAUCUAAUAUUACCACAGCCCGGUCUGGGCAGUUUUCGCCCAGAGGGACCGGUCUCUCCCCAGCAGGGACCGGUCUCUCGCUGCGAACCCGAAAAAAACCAGCGUUCGGGAACCGGUCUCUCCCUGCACGAGACCGGUCUCUCACUGCGUAGACGCGCUCGGGGACCGGUCUCGCCCGCCAGGGACCGAUUGCCUCAGGGCUGCCGCAACACUGUUCACUGGGGGACCGGUCUCUCCUUUCAGGGACCAGGGACCGGUCCCCGAGAGUAAAAACUCUCAGGACUUGUCCAGAAUUCCAGUUUUCGAACUUUUUAGGUCGGAAUACAUUCUACAACCCUCCACCAAGUGUGGAAAAGCUCGAAAUACAUCCAAACACUCGAACCUCGCAAUUUGCAAAGGUCCAGUAUGUUACAGUCACGCCCCCGACCGCACGACCCAAAAACGGUACCUAUUUGGUCCGAUUCGAGGGCGACGGGCGUGAGGCUGAACGGACAGAGUCUCCUCUAUCCGCCCAAGGCUAACCAACAAGAUUGUGUACAACAAGUCCCCAGGAAAAUAACUUGAUUACAUACACAAUCGAAUAACGAUAAUACAAACAGUGUUAAAACCAUCAAGAGCAAGCGAUACUAGUAAAAGCAUACAAGUAUACAAAAGAGAGAAACUUAACUAUUUGAACCAUGAAAUUUAAAGUAUUAAAUACAACUUCAUUUAAACCUUUCAUACAUGUAGUUCAACCUUUUCCAAAAUGUAAAUAUAUCAAGUACUCUCCAAAACCUCACCCUAUACAACAUCUACUCUCAAAAUAUAAAGAC
This 42067-nucleotide long non-coding RNA is filed under the name Ananas comosus (pineapple). Its description in RNAcentral is "long non-coding RNA (ACOM_LNC043883)". The record is from RNAcentral. Lineage: Eukaryota; Viridiplantae; Streptophyta; Magnoliopsida; Poales; Bromeliaceae.